GAUGAACGCUGACAGAAUGCUUAACACAUGCAAGUCUUUGGCGAAGCUGUGCUUGCACAGCCUAGCCAAGGCGGACGGGUGAGUAACGCGUAAGGAACUUGCCCUGCAGUCAGGGAUAACAGACGGAAACGACUGAUAAGACCUGGUAAAGUCAGGCGGACUCAUGUCCAGCCUGAUGAAAAGAGAUGCCGCAGGAGAGCCUUGCGUCCUAUUAGCUUGUUGGUGGGGUAACGGCCCACCAAGGCGAUGAUAGGUAGCCGGCCUGAGAGGGUGGACGGCCACAAGGGGACUGAGAUACGGCCCUUACUCCUACGGGAGGCAGCAGUGGGGAAUAUUGGACAAUGGGGGCAACCCUGAUCCAGCAAUUCGGUGUGCACGAUGAAGGUUUUCGGAUUGUAAAGUGCUUUCAGCAGGGAAGAAAAAAUGACGGUACCUGCAGAAGAAGCGACGGCUAAAUACGUG
RNAcentral lists this ribosomal RNA (462 nucleotides) under uncultured bacterium. RNAcentral describes it as "partial 16S ribosomal RNA". It matches the Rfam family "Bacterial small subunit ribosomal RNA", at positions 28 to 507 of the family's 1533-position model. The record is from RNAcentral.